This 468-nucleotide ribosomal RNA is filed under the name uncultured bacterium. RNAcentral describes it as "partial 16S ribosomal RNA". It matches the Rfam family "Bacterial small subunit ribosomal RNA", at positions 28 to 507 of the family's 1533-position model. The record is from RNAcentral.
GACGAACGCUGGCGGCGUGCUUAACACAUGCAAGUCGAACGGAGAGGCCCAGCUUUCGUGGGGUGCUAGAGUGGCAAACGGGAGUGUAACACGUGUGUAACCUGCCUUAGACUUUGGUAUAACUUGAGGAAUCUGGCGAAUAUACCGGAUAGGCGCUCCUGCUGCAUGGUGGGGGUGGGAAAGUUUCGGCGGUUGGGGAUGGACUCGCGGCUUAUCAGCUUGUUGGUGGGGUAGUGGCUUACCAAGGCCUUGACGGGUAGCCGGCCUGAGAGGGUGACCGGCCACACUGGGACUGAGAUACGGCCCAGACUCCUACGGGAGGCAGCAGUGGGGAAUAUUGCACAAUGGGCGGAAGCCUGAUGCAGCAACGCCGCGUGCGGGAUGACGGCCUUCGGGUUGUAAACCGCUUUCGCCUGUGACGAAGCGUGAGUGACGGUAAUGGGUGAAGAAGCACCGGCUAACUACGUG